RNAcentral lists this ribosomal RNA (277 nucleotides) under uncultured prokaryote. Its description in RNAcentral is "partial 16S ribosomal RNA". It matches the Rfam family "Bacterial small subunit ribosomal RNA", at positions 524 to 800 of the family's 1533-position model. The record is from RNAcentral.
UACGGAGGAUCCGAGCGUUAUCCGGAUUUAUUGGGUUUAAAGGGUGCGCAGGCGGGGGAUUAAGUCGGCGGUGAAAUUUUGCAGCUCAACUGUAAAAGUGCCUUCGAAACUGGUUUCCUUGAGUGUAGAUGAAGUAGGCGGAAUUUGUGGUGUAGCGGUGAAAUGCAUAGAUAUCACGAGGAACUCCGAUUGCGCAGGCAGCUUACUAAACUACUACUGACGCUCAGGCACGAAGGCGUGGGGAUCAAACGGGAUUAGAUACCCGCGUAGUCCCUGA